Molecule: non-coding RNA, 401 nt
Organism: Pelobates cultripes (western spadefoot toad)
Lineage: Eukaryota; Metazoa; Chordata; Amphibia; Anura; Pelobatidae
Source: the annotation of a GenBank genome assembly
CCUUGAGACGCCACUGGGUUUGUAACAGUCAAUUAGCAAUUUAACAGUGUCCCCUAGUGAUUUUAAUCUAUUAAAGGAACACUUAAGUUGGGAAUACAAAAAUGUCCCUGGUAGAUGAAAGGGUUAAAUAACCCUUUAAACAUUUACCAGACUUCAGUACCAAUGUCCCUCGGUGCUGAGUUGCGGUUAUCCUCCACUGACUUCAGCUGAUGAGGGGGACCUAAUACUUAUGCUGCGCAAGCAGUAUAGGAAACUACUGAAUCAAUGCUCUCCUAUGGAGAUUUUGUAGAUGGUGGACGCAUGUCAAACCAGCCACAGGUUGCGCUUACCCUCAGCACAUUCUCACACGGCUGACCAGGAUCCAGGGUGUGCUGCAGCAGUCUCCAUCCCAAGUGGCAGCG